CUUAAGUACCCAGAUUUUCUUACGCAGGAAAGAAACAUGAAGUAAGAUUUAAGCCUUGAAAGUAUCAUAAAUAUAUCAUUCUUCAAAUUGAUUGUGAUGAAAAGAGAUAGGAUUCUUUCUCCUUAGAAUUUUCACUGAUCUAUAAUGGGAUCAAAAAAGUAGAAAAAUCAGUCUGCAGAAUGAAAACAGAUUAAUGAAAUAGCUAGAAAGGAGGGGAGAGCAUUUGUUUAGUUAAAUGUUAAGGUAACUUGAAAAUUGUCUAUGAAAUGCUAAAACUGUACCAGAGCCUUAUUGCACACUCAACAUUUUAAGCCUGGGAGCAGGGGAAGGUGGGAAAAGGUUGGAGUGAUAGAAGUGUUUGCCUUAUGAUCUCUUGACUCCUUUUACACAAGAAGCAGAUUGGUAGAGCUUAAGCAGGUGUCUGUGCUGUGGUGCUGGCUCUGCCAAAAACUCUCAUAUGCCCUAGGAAAGUUCCUUUAACUUCUCUGAGCCCAAGUUUAUCUGUAAAGUGAAGACUUUUUAAAUUUAGUAAUCUGUAUGUCUCUUCAUCUCUGAUAAUUCUAUAAUGUUUUCAGAUUGUUAUAUGUGUACAUGUACAUGUUGCUCCCCUCUAGUCACUAAGAUGCCACAUAUUUCUACUUGAGUGAACAGAUUGCAAGUCCAAAUGUUCUUGUUUCUAAUACUAAUAAUUGAUCUCAGCAAGACAUAAAAAAGUAAAAAAAAAGUAAUCUUACCUCUUAUUUUGACCUUGGCUUUAAAUUAUUAUGAUUUAUCAUUUCAUCUUUGAAUGCUGAGUGAAUUACCUAAACAGAAUGUCUGUUCCAGUUAAUCUUCUCUUUAAAUUUUUGUAGUUUAAUAAACAUGUAGCAAAUCAGAAGCAAGUAUAUCAUGCUUAUCGAUGAACUGUAGCAGAUUGUAAUGGUGCAUUUUUGUCACAUUAAAAAGUUAAUGUCCUUUUGGUCCCAGAAGCAAUUACUAUAAUUUAAAAUAAUAUUCACACAAUUUUGUGAAUGUUUUUGAAUACAAAGGAGGCCUAAUACAGCCAUAUCGUAGUUCAUUUUGCUCAGGAGUGAGAAACAAAAUUCAGGGAUAACCCAAACAUGUCUGUUUGGCAAUAGUGGAUAGUUAGGUAAAGAAGGGUUAUAGCUUUUGCACAUCACAGAUAAGAGGCGACUAUACCUAUUGAAAAACAGCAGUAUAUUCUGGUUCUUGCUUUUAUGAUGGAAAGAUAUUAGAAUGAUACUAAAAUUUGGAUGCUCGGGAAAUUGAAUAAUACAGAAAUAUUUUGUCAUACUGAGAUUAUUUGUCCAGAAGUUUAGUCUUAUAUCCCUUCCAUUCAGAAAAGGGGGCAGUUUUUAAAGGCCUCUGUCAUAAAAGGAAAUGUAUAUUUUGACUAGUGGAGCAAUUAGUUAAAACAUUUAAUCUGAUCAUUUUGGUUUUAUGAAUCUGAAUUUUCACUUUAGGUGUAAUUGAGUCGCUUAUGUAUUACUGUGAUCUUUGUGAGAAGUGAUUUCGUUCAUUUUUUUAAAUUUGAUGAAACUUGAUAAAUGGUGAUUCUAGCAUAUUGUGUUAAUACUGUAUCUUACAACAAUUUGUGAACUGACCAUCAUAAACGAAUCAUAGUAGUAUCUCUUCUGGUAAGUUGUUUCUAUAUGUGAUCUCUUAAUGCUGGGUUUGGGGGUGGGGAUGGGGUUAAGUAUUUAGUUUACUUUAAACUGUCAAAGUGUUUUUCUUAAAUGCCAUAAAAUUGUAUGAAUAUAAGCCAAAUAAGAAUAUUCUCUUUUUUCACUUUUAAGGGCACUGUAUAGACCAUUUUUGAAACUAUCCCACAGAAUGGUAUAAUUUCAGUUUAAAAGCUCUUACACACAUACACACACACAAAUAUAAAUAUAUAUAUACACAUUCAAGGGAAAGCAAACAGUGUAUGUAGUAUUUCUAAGUGACAUGCUACGUGUUAUAAGAAUCUAUUUUUGAAAUCUUAUACAGAUUAUGCAGAAGUCAGAAUAACAAAUAAAACACCUCAAUUUUUUUAUAGAGUCUAGCGUUAGUUUACUAUAAGAUUUGCUUACAUCAUACUUGCAAAGAUCAUUCACAUAAUUUAUUUAGCGUUGAAAAUAUUUAUAUGAAGUACUAAUAUCAUCUGAAGUUUAGAGAUUAAACAACCAAGGUUUAGAAAGAUCAAAUGACUAGUCCAAGAUAAUAUGGCCAAUAAAUGGCUCUAAACCUCCUAUGUUCUUUAUACUAUUCACUUUUUGUCAUGUUAUUUUUAUCCUGUCACUGCCAUUAUCUUUAAAACUUUGACAAAAAUUUAAUUUUAAAAGUUACAUUGGGAAUUUUCAGAUUUUAGUGCAAAGACAUUGUUGCUGUUCUUGUCAGACCUUUUCAGAUACCUCCAGACUAUAGCCCUUCCACAGGGUGAUAUUCAAACAUUUUCCACCUAAAACAUAUAAGUUUGCACACCCUGACCACAGACACUGAAUUCACUUGAUGUCAGAAUGCUAGACUAAAAGUUGAUCUUCUUGACUGACAUUUCUAAUCUCCCUUUUUAAAAAUCCAUCAUAAGGACUGACUUCUGAACAGUUGAAUAAAGCAGUAAUCAAUCCAAGAAACUGCAUCCAUUCUGAUUCAGAGGAAAAAAAAAUCCAACCUAGCGACCAUUUUUCAGCAUACUGUAUUUCAUCACAUUUAUUCUGUGAUUAGUGGAGGACAGAGAAGAGGGACUGGGGAGAAAAACUGCCUUUAUUUUAAGAAAGCUCAUUUCCUGUAACUAUUCAAAAAGAAUUGAUUAUCAAGUGUUAGAUAACAAUAUUACUAACAUUUAUCACAGUUCAAAUAUUUAGUAAAAUUUCUCCACAUAUUUAAAAUUUUACUUAAGAAUUUUCCCAGUUAAAAUAUAAUGACUGCUUAGUUUGAAUAAGGAAGACAUUCCUUUCAAUUCAUGACACAAUAGUACAUUUUUAUUCUUUUCUCAGACAGCAGAGAGACACUGUUACUGCUUUCCCUUGUAAGUCAACAGUCUGUGAUACAUGCUGUACUUUUACUGAUUAGCAAUGCAAUGUUACUGUGAAUAUUUAACUAGAACUUAUUAUAUUGGAAUUUAAAAUUUUCUAACAUUGAAUUUAGUUCUCUUCAUCAAAUAAGCAAGCAUUAUUUUUAUGAAAUGAAAUAAUCAUUCUUAAGCAGUGAUGAUAAUGGAAUUCUGAAUAAGAUGUAAAAUCAAACAUUCUAUUUUUUCUGUUUAUCCUUUGACAUUGAGUUGUUUUAAUUUAUUACAUAUUAUUAAGUUGAAAUAAGCUUUAUACCAUGUUCUCUGAUGUUCAUGUCAUAAUAAUUUUGGGCCUUUUGUUAAGUAAAUAUCAGAAAAUAUCUGUGAGUUUUGAUUAUGUGAUAUUUUCAUCUGAUUGAUUUUUUAAAUUUCUCAUUGGAUUUAAAGUGUUUUCUUUGCUAAUGUUAUAUACAGAAUUCAAUAAAAGACCAAAAAAAAA
Molecule: long non-coding RNA, 3485 nt
Filed under: Pan troglodytes (chimpanzee)
Lineage: Eukaryota; Metazoa; Chordata; Mammalia; Primates; Hominidae
Description: lincRNA
Source: RNAcentral